Molecule: long non-coding RNA, 764 nt
Organism: Homo sapiens (human)
Lineage: Eukaryota; Metazoa; Chordata; Mammalia; Primates; Hominidae
Source: Ensembl
UGGGGGACCACGCGCCGUCCCAACAGGCUGGAAGGGUGCCGCCACGACUGGCCCCUCCAGGACCAUAUUUCCCUUUAAAUGCUGAAAAUUUAGUGUGGAAUUGAUAUGUACUGUAUGCAUAAACCACACGCUGGAUGUCUAAGACUGGUGAGCAAGUCUUGACAUCUGGAGGAGUUUCCACCAUCCAAGAAGGAAAAGGCAAAGGUCCACAUGGGAAGCUGGAGGUGAAUGGGAGAGACAGAGGCUGCUCAGAUAGGGGCUUUGGUUUCCUGUCUGCCUGUCAGAGCAGGAGGAGGUGGGCCUUGCAGCACCUUGCAUCUGCGUCACUUCAUUUGUAAGAAGAUGGCUGGAAUGGUGAAAAGCACACAGCUAUAUCAUUACCUCCAGAUAUUGAAAGAGGACAUCUGAACCUGUGUGAUGUUGUAGAAAGAAGAUUGUCUAGGGUGUCAAAGCAGACAGAUGCCAGUUUGUGCUCAUCCUUUACCAGACUGGUGCCUACAGUGAGUCACACUUGUUAAGUACAGUGUGGUAAGUAAGAAUUCAGGUUCCAGAGUCAGACUGCAGCUCCAGUUCCUGAACUGUGUAAUUUGGGAGAGACACUCAGCUUUUCUGAGCCUCCUUAUCCUCAUCCGUAAAAUGAGGACAAUUACUAGCAUUGCUGGAGGAUUAAACAAAAUAAUAAAUAGAAGGCACUUACUUAGCACAGGUCCUGGCACAUGGUAAACAUUUAAUAAACAGUGUCUAUUACUAUGUUUUAACUGUUA